UUGAUCAUGGCCAGAUUGAACGCGGCGGGAUGCCUUCACAUGCAAGUCGAACGGCAGCGCGACUUCGUCUGGCGGCGAGUGGCGAACGGGUGAGUAAAGUAUCGGAACGUGCCCAGUAGCGGGGGAUAACUACGCGAAAGCGUGGCUAAUACCGCAUACGCCCUAAGGGGAAAGCGGGGGGUCUUAGGACCUCGCACUAUUGGAGCGGCCGAUAUCGGAUUAGCUAGUUGGUGGGGUAACGGCUCACCAAGGCGACGAUCCGUAGCUGGUUUGAGAGGACGACCAGCCACACUGGGACUGAGACACGGCCCAGACUCCUACGGGAGGCAGCAGUGGGGAAUUUUGGACAAUGGGGGCAACCCUGAUCCAGCCAUCCCGCGUGUGCGAUGAAGGCCUUCGGGUUGUAAAGCACUUUUGGCAGAAAGAAACGGCGCCGGCUAAUACCUGGCGCAUCUGACGGUACCUGCAGAAUAAGCACCGGCUAACUACGUGCCAGCAGCCGCGGUAAUACGAAUCACUAGUGAAUUCGCGCCGCCUGCAGGUCGACCAUAUGGGAAAGCUCCCAACCC
This 569-nucleotide ribosomal RNA is filed under the name uncultured beta proteobacterium. RNAcentral describes it as "bacterial SSU rRNA". It matches the Rfam family "Bacterial small subunit ribosomal RNA", at positions 13 to 546 of the family's 1533-position model. Lineage: Bacteria; Pseudomonadati; Pseudomonadota; Betaproteobacteria. The record is from RNAcentral.